UGUUAACACUGUAAAAAAUGAUUCUGGGUUUUAGUCAAGUGGACAAAUAAAAUCAUGUCCUGUCAACUUGCAGUGUCUCACAACACAAUAGGAUGAGUUAUAUCAACCUCAACUUGAAGGGAAAUUGAAAACUUUAAAUAACAUAUAACAACAAAACGUUCAAAAGUUGUCAAGUUUCUUUCAAAUGCGCAUGUGCCAGAAACUCUACGUCAUGAUGACGUACUAUUUUACCGAAUGUGAGACAGACGCGCCAUUCGCCAUUUUCUGCACGAGAAGCUGCUGCUGAUCACACAAGAAAAGAUGAUGAAGGAGCCCCCUUUUUUAACGACUACAGAUGGGCAGAUGGGCUUUAUGGACCGCAAAUAAUGAAAUUAGUAUUCAUAUUUUGCGAACUUAAGACAACUUGAUUAAUAAUCAGGAGCCACACGCACUGCCAGACAAAUUUAUUCUCGCUGGACAUCGAGCUGCUGUCGAGACGUGAGCAGAAAGAUAAGUCGUCUUUGACUAUUGAUCAGUACAGUGGAAGCACAACUCCAUAUCGACGAGGUGGUGUUGCAAGAUUUGUAGACGCCAAAAACCUUCUUGCUUUACUAAGAACAUUCAAAAAGUUCGAGUUGAUCCUGUUCCAGAUUCUGUUGACGGCCUCAAGCUUGAACCUAAAAGCAGGCUCCAGCUGAAAGACACUUUUGACCUUCAAUAAGAAGAUGAAGACUUCCAUGAUUUCUGUAACCUUACAUGUGUAGCUGAUCUGUCCAAAGACAAGCUCAGCAAAGAAUUCACCAGACUUGUGUUAAAGGACCUGAGAAAGUCCUUUUUUGAAGGCCUAGAUAGUCAUCUCUCGAAGCUGAUGCAGUUAUUCAGGUCAAAACAUUCCAGAAAUGACUUCAAUACUGGAGAGCCUUAAUAAGGAUGUGAGUCCUUAUUUUCAUUGUUGUUACAACCCCAAUGAAUUUGAGGCAGGGGUGCUUAAUCCUGCUCCUGGGGAGCCAAGAUCCUGCAGAGUUUAGCUUCAACCCCAGUUAAACACACCUACUACAGCUAAUCAAGGUGUUCAGGAUCACUACAAACUUACAUGCAGACAACAAACUAAGGGAUGAGGACAGCAGCAUUGCUGGGCCUGCCGUGGUACAUGCGAGAGACUCCUUCAAAAUUCAUGAAGAUAUGCAAGACCAGUGAGCAUGAAGAGGAUUUGAUCAAGGGUGUGGUGAUUGGAAUUCUAAUGGUUGUGGGAAAUGUGAUGGAACCUCUCCCAGCGAUCUACAAUGACGUUGCCCUGGUGAUUGAGGAAGAAGUGGUAAUGCAUCACCUUAGUGAUAUACCUAAUGCUUUUCUGAACCUGAUGGGCCUGGACUAUCCAAACCUUGACUACCCAAAGGAAUUAAAAUUCACUUUUGAAGUGAUACAGCACCCGUUUAUAGGAGUGGGAUCAGACUUUUGCACUGCAAGAGUUCACUCUUUGAAGAGGAGGUUGCUGCGAUAAGACAGAAAACGAACAAUCUUUUUUCCUUCUUGCUACUGUUUAAAGGGAUAGUUCACCCAAAAAUGAAAAUUUGAUGUUUAUCUGCUUACGCCCAGGGCAUCCAAGAUGUAGGUGACUUUGU
This is a long non-coding RNA of Megalobrama amblycephala (Wuchang bream), 1601 nucleotides long. RefSeq lists it as uncharacterized. The record is from RefSeq and is a predicted model, not a curated record. The transcript is spliced from 8 exons. NCBI's taxonomy places the organism in Eukaryota, Metazoa, Chordata, Actinopteri, Cypriniformes, Xenocyprididae.